AUGUAUCCCAUUGCUUGGGCAGCAGUUGAGGUGGAAAAUAAGGACUCCUGGUUCUGGUUUAUGGCAUUGUUAAAUAAAGACUUGGAGAUUUCAAAUCAAGGUGAAGGCUGGGUGUUUAUAUCAGAUCAGCAGAAAGAUCCAAUCAAU
This 147-nucleotide ribosomal RNA is filed under the name Triticum aestivum (bread wheat). RNAcentral describes it as "partial small subunit ribosomal RNA". Lineage: Eukaryota; Viridiplantae; Streptophyta; Magnoliopsida; Poales; Poaceae. The record is from RNAcentral.